GGCUCAGGAUGAACGCUAGCUACAGGCUUAACACAUGCAAGUCGAGGGGAAACGAUAUUGGAAGCUUGCUUCCGAUAGGCGUCGACCGGCGCACGGGUGAGUAACGCGUAUCCAACCUGCCCAUCACUUGGGGAUAACCUUGCGAAAGUAAGACUAAUACCCAAUGACGUCUCUAGAAGACAUCUGAAAGAGAUUAAAGAUUUAUCGGUGAUGGAUGGGGAUGCGUCUGAUUAGCUUGUUGGCGGGGUAACGGCCCACCAAGGCGACGAUCAGUAGGGGUUCUGAGAGGAAGGUCCCCCACAUUGGAACUGAGACACGGUCCAAACUCCUACGGGAGGCAGCAGUGAGGAAUAUUGGUCAAUGGACGAGAGUCUGAACCAGCCAAGUAGCGUGCAGGAUGACGGCCCUAUGGGUUGUAAACUGCUUUUAUAAGGGAAUAAAGUGAGUCUCGUGAGACUUUUUGCAUGUACCUUAUGAAUAAGGACCGGCUAAUUCCGUG
Molecule: ribosomal RNA, 499 nt
Filed under: uncultured bacterium
Lineage: Bacteria
Description: bacterial SSU rRNA
Rfam family: Bacterial small subunit ribosomal RNA
Source: RNAcentral